This is a long non-coding RNA of Apus apus (common swift), 594 nucleotides long. RefSeq lists it as uncharacterized. The record is from RefSeq and is a predicted model, not a curated record. Lineage: Eukaryota; Metazoa; Chordata; Aves; Apodiformes; Apodidae. The transcript has 4 exons.
AAAAAUGGCUGAGCAAAUAAAUAAGAAAGUAAUCGGAGCUGACAGGCAGAAGCCAGAGGAAGCAAAAUCUAUUUUUCCAGCCGUUCCAGGGACUGGAUGCCAUCUCUCUCUUGGAUGACAUAAACCACUCCAAAUCAAGUUGACCCACCAGAUUCUUUGGUCAUCUGGCAUAUUUUGGGGCUGGUUCCUGUUUUAAUGACAGUCUGACCCUGGUUGUGGAGGGUUCCUCUGGCUUUCAGCUGGCCAAAAGUACCACCCAGCAAGAUGUAGUUUCAAGAAGGAGGAGUUGGAGAUUCCCUUUGGAAUAACAAGGCAUUAUCCUGGGUCCUGAGCUGGCAGGGAAUGCUAUGCCACACUUUCCGUUGUCACCCAUUCACCUCGGAGGAGAAGCUGGUGCUUAUUUAAUAACCCCCUGCCCAGGCAGCCAUGGUGCCCCAGCCUUUGCUGGCCACCCCCCAGACCCAAAGACCAUGUGUCACAGCCCCUGGACUCAAUGUCAUGACACAAGUGAGAGGCUGCAGGUCAGGAGUUUUUUGUGUGAGCCGGGAUGCUUUUCAGCAGAUAGACAGAGCUGGAAUAAAACUUUAAAGGUCA